UACGUAGGGUGCAAGCGUUAAUCGGAAUUACUGGGCGUAAAGCGUGCGCAGGCGGUUGUGUAAGUCUGUCGUGAAAUCCCCGGGCUCAACCUGGGAAUUGCGAUGGAGACUGCACGGCUAGAGUGUGUCAGAGGGGGUAGAAUUCCACGUGUAGCAGUGAAAUGCGUAGAUAUGCGGAGGAACACCGAUGGCGAAGGCAAUCCCCUGGGCCUGUACUGACGCUCAUGCACGAAAGCGUGGGGAGCAAACAGGAUUAGAUACCCGUGUAGU
This 270-nucleotide ribosomal RNA is filed under the name uncultured bacterium. Its description in RNAcentral is "partial 16S ribosomal RNA". It matches the Rfam family "Bacterial small subunit ribosomal RNA", at positions 524 to 794 of the family's 1533-position model. The record is from RNAcentral.